This is a non-coding RNA of Vicia faba (fava bean), 285 nucleotides long. The record is from the annotation of a GenBank genome assembly. NCBI's taxonomy places the organism in Eukaryota, Viridiplantae, Streptophyta, Magnoliopsida, Fabales, Fabaceae.
AUGUUACUGUACCAAUUUCAAGUCAAGCGUCGCGGUGUUCGAAACCGUAAUCAGAGCACAUGGAGAACCCUUCCGUUCAACCAACCACAGCCCUCCAAACGCCCAGAUUUCGUGACCAUCGGUCAGAAGCAACCACCACCGAUCUCCAACGAAGGCUUAACCAUCACCGCCCUGCUCCCUGCCUCCCUCGUCACUGAUCUGUCACAGCUGCGACCACCGCUUGAAGCUGCACCAGACGCGAGUCACACCACCAAUCCGCAUGUAACAACAACUCCUCCACUGUGA